RNAcentral lists this long non-coding RNA (415 nucleotides) under Solanum tuberosum (potato). RNAcentral describes it as "long non-coding RNA (STUB_LNC003062)". Lineage: Eukaryota; Viridiplantae; Streptophyta; Magnoliopsida; Solanales; Solanaceae. The record is from RNAcentral.
UCUAGUGUCUGGAGGUCAGUCCUUGAUUAUGAUGAAUCAUUCAUACAAUGAGGUCAGAGUGACCUUGGCAUAUAAUAUGCCAAUAUCACAUCGUGCAACAAGAAAUGUUCGUAGACAAAGUGAAUAACUCAUUUACAUUCAUAAAAAGUUGAUUAGUUUGGUUCUUCCUUUUGAUUCUUUUGGCUUGUCUACUAUGCUGGGCCUUUCAAUCAGACGAGGAGGCAACUCCUGUUGUACAAAAGCUGGGUCCUUUUCUACCUAGUUAGUAAUUUAGUAUCACCCACUUGAAAAGGAGAUUUGCAUGAAAAAAGGAACUGUUUGGACUAAAAGAUGCUUCUGAUGGGAUUUGUUUUACUAAAAGUCCUGCAACACCCAACAGAAAAGGCCUAAGAUUGACAUCUUUAUCGUUUUGCUG